This 1040-nucleotide long non-coding RNA is filed under the name Homo sapiens (human). Its description in RNAcentral is "non-protein coding lnc-FOXO1-2:27". The record is from RNAcentral. Lineage: Eukaryota; Metazoa; Chordata; Mammalia; Primates; Hominidae.
GUUUUGUGGCCAAGGCAGGGGCAGAAGCCAGCUCUUCUUACCCACUGUCCCCAAAGCUCAUCUCACACUGGAGUUGUGACAUCAGCACUAUUCUGCCUCUGCUAUACAACAGGCCCUGGAACAUACUCGAACCAUGUAGGUGAUUUGUGUCCCUGUCUCAUCUUUCUUACCAGAAUACCAUCGGAGCUCCUCUGGAACAUGUCCUUGUCUUCUCAGAGUGUGAAGUGUGUGUGUGACAGUGCUUUUCUGAGGACUCAGGUGACCUGGAGGCUGGAGAACAGCAUGGAGCAAGGAAAACAAAGACGAUGUGCUGGAGUGUAUGUUGCUUUCAUAAUUAUGUGAAAGAAAAUGUAGAGAAAUUUGAAAGGAGAACUGGUUAUCAGUAGUGCCAUCCUGCUCAAAUAUCUUCAAAUACACACCACCAUCCAUGUGUGGGUUGAUUAAGGAGCUGACGUUCAUUAGAUCUGCAGUCUCCUGACCUGAUGUGCAUCAGAAUCACUGGGAGAACAAACAAACAAAAAUGAAUCCAAAACAAGCAACGAACAGACAGAUUCUCAAGUCUUGCCAAGUCCAAAGAUUGAUUUGGUGGAGAAAUUGUACUUUGAAAGCUGCCCAGAGAAAAGAUGGCUAUCCCGCCCAAUGUUUGGCCCCCUCCUGCAAAGGCCAAAACAUUCGUUGGGUUUUUCCUUUACUGUCUAAAUAAAGAAGAAUUUGUGCACAGUCUGAGUGGGUCAGGAUUUCAUCCCAUGGCCAUGUGGGAGCUCCAAGAUUUGAUCUCCGGGCUGGGAGAGAAAAUCUUUUUCUGUCUGGUGUUUUUCAAAAUUUUGAUGAUGGACUCACAUCAAGGAUGAAGAGCUUUGAUGUCAUUUGAACACCACCACCAUCACCACCACCAGCAUCAACAAACAAACAAGCAAACAAGCGUGAACUCAGGAGCCCUGUGGCCCAGCCUCCAGUCCAUUUCCUCACUGUGAUCUGGCUAAGUCACCUCCCCUCCACCUCAGUUCAGUCACCUACACAACAGGAAUGGUGGCUCCUGG